RNAcentral lists this ribosomal RNA (253 nucleotides) under uncultured bacterium. RNAcentral's name for it is "partial 16S ribosomal RNA". It matches the Rfam family "Bacterial small subunit ribosomal RNA", at positions 524 to 776 of the family's 1533-position model. The record is from RNAcentral.
UACGGAGGGUGCGAGCGUUGUUCGGAAUUACUGGGCGUAAAGCGCACGUAGGCGGCUUUGUAAGUUAGAGGUGAAAGCCCAGGGCUCAACCCUGGAAUUGCCUUUAAGACUGCAUCGCUUGAACAUCGGAGAGGUAAGUGGAAUUCCGAGUGUAGAGGUGAAAUUCGUAGAUAUUCGGAAGAACACCAGUGGCGAAGGCGACUUACUGGACGAUUGUUGACGCUGAGGCACGAAGGCCAGGGGAGCAAACGGG